Long non-coding RNA from Xiphophorus hellerii (green swordtail), 1677 nucleotides. RefSeq lists it as uncharacterized. The record is from RefSeq and is a predicted model, not a curated record. NCBI's taxonomy places the organism in Eukaryota, Metazoa, Chordata, Actinopteri, Cyprinodontiformes, Poeciliidae. The transcript is spliced from 3 exons.
GGAAGGUUGACAGGUGAAAAGACAGACCUUUUCCUUCGUAGAUGGGAGACCAACAUCAUGCCAAAACUUAGAGUUGUGGCUGCCAUGGAACCUGGACUCAGCACUCUUUUGAGAGGAUUUGAAAACAUGACUGAAGAGGAGGCUUGUUACAGAACACUCGUGGUACUAACACACCUUCUGCCCCAUGUUAGUGGAAGACAAUGUAGCGUCAAGGAUACAAUAACACACCUUCUAGAUUUUGUGCCGACUGGAACAAGAAUAGCAUCCCUCUGCAAUGAUUCUGCUACUUCAUCAACAAACCAUCAGCCCCAGCUCAUCUGCAUCGGUAAUCUGCGGUCGUCAAAGCAGUAUGUCAUCGUUGCAAAAAAUGACAAAGUCACCAUCCCCCUGGACGAUGGACUCACAUGUGCUGUGGACAAGCUUUUUAAGCUGUACUGGGUGUUUAACUUGUGUUAUCCAUCCCAACUCGGACCUGUCUUUACAUUUUUUGAGUACAUCUACGAUCUUCCAUUCUCCACACAAAGAAAAACAAGGGUGAUUGAAUUGAUUGCACAACUUAAAGCUUGUAAAUGAAAUGUAUUGUUGUCCAAAAUGUAGACAAACUGGUUUCAAAGAGGUGAAAAAUCUCCUAUGGCACCUCCGUGAAAUACACUGCUUAUCAGAUGGACAGAAUAUAAAAAUUAGAUGUGCUCAGGAAAAUUGUCCAAGAACAUAUUAUAACUUGAAUUCAUUUACUAGGCAUCUACACAGAGUACAUUUUAAGAUGGGUACAAAAGAUAUGCCUGUUGUGCAAUCCUUGUUCCCAAGCGAGGGUUCAAACAGUGGAGAACAAACUCAUACUGAUAAUUUGGAUACACCCAAUAUUAUGGUUGCAGCUCCACAAUCAGAAAAUUACAUUGAGCUCAGUAAUUGUGCAGCAUCUUUUGUUUCCCAGAUGUAUUCAUCUUCAAAUGUAACUUUUUCUGAUGUCAUGAAAAAUGUGAACUGUGCAAAGGAGCUAAUUACUAGAACUGUAGACAGGUUGCAGCAAUCAACUACAACUUUGUUGAAUAGUGUUAAGAAAAAUGAUUAUUUUUUGGUGUUUAAUACAGCUAAUAUACGACAUGUGUAAAGGUAUAGCCAACACUUUUAUUUGGAACAGUUUUCUGUGGAGCAUGUGGGAGCUGACAAUAGCAGACAUUUAAACAAGCAGGGCCCUUUUUCCUCCCCCGCUGGCAGACAGAGCAAUAAAAUUUACAUUCCAAUGGGAGAGGGGACUUCGGAGGUGUCUGUGAAAUCUCAUCUUAGGACGUUUGGCGCCAGGGAUCUUCCGUAUCAGGCAGCGAUGAGCACCUAAGUGGUCCGCCCUUUUGCUUGGACAAAAAACAGACACCUUUGCCAUAAUGAGGGGAGUUUCCAAGUUCUCUGAGUGCUGAGGGAGUUUCUAAUAGGUCAGCAUGAGGAACGCCUUGACUGCAUAUAUUAAAUAGGGAAACACCUCUUUAGUUUAAAACUCCGUGUUAGGAAAAAAUCCAGAGAGAGAGCGGCCGCUAUUUUUGCUUUUUUUGUCUGUGUUCUAUGUUCGUUUGUCUCCCCUUGUGUGUCUUUAUUCUUAUGAGAAAAUGCAUAUCUCUGUUCCUCUGCAGCUUUGUUGUGAUUGCUUUGUAUGGAAUUAAACUCUGCGAUCUGUGACGUCAA